Molecule: ribosomal RNA, 1510 nt
Filed under: Corynebacterium sp. HMSC074E01
Lineage: Bacteria; Bacillati; Actinomycetota; Actinomycetes; Mycobacteriales; Corynebacteriaceae
Description: bacterial LSU rRNA
Rfam family: Bacterial large subunit ribosomal RNA
Source: RNAcentral
UUGUUGAUGUCGUGGGGCCUGAUGUGUGGUUCAAGUGAUGGGGUGACACAGUGUAGUAGCCAUGCCGCUUAGUGGAUUGUUGGUGUAAGCGUGUGAGGUGGUGUGUAGGCAAAUCCGCACACCGAGUAAGCCUGAGGCGUGAUGCGUAGCCCUUGUUGGGUGAAGUUGGUGAUCUAGUACUGUCGAGAAAAGCCUCUAGCGAUGUGGAUGUAUGGCCCGUACCCUAAACCGACACAGGUGGUCAGGUUGAAAAUACUAAGGCGUUCGGGUGAACUGUGGUUAAGGAACUCGGCAAAAUGCCCCCGUAACUUCGGGAGAAGGGGGACCACACGACUUAAGCCAACCUUGCGUUGGUGGUGGGUUGUGGGGUCGCAGAGAAUAGAGGGAAGCGACUGUUUAUCAAAAACACAGGUCCAUGCGAAGACGUUAAGUUGAUGUAUAUGGACUGACGCCUGCCCGGUGCUGGAAGGUUAAGAGGACCGGUUAGUAGUCUUUGACUGCGAAGCUGAGAAUUUAAGCCCCAGUAAACGGCGGUGGUAACUAUAACCAUCCUAAGGUAGCGAAAUUCCUUGUCGGGUAAGUUCCGACCUGCACGAAUGGCGUAACGACUUCUCUGCUGUCUCAACCACAGGCCCGGUGAAAUUGCACUACGAGUAAAGAUGCUCGUUACGCGCGGCAGGACGAAAAGACCCCGGGACCUUCACUAUAGCUUGGUAUUGGUGUUCGGUUCGGUUUGUGUAGGAUAGGUGGGAGACUGUGAUGCAUGCACGCCAGUGUGUGUGGAGUCGUUGUUGAAAUACCACUCUGAUCGGAUUGGAUGUCUAACCUUGGCCCAUGAUCUGGGUUGGGGACAGUGCCUGGUGGGUAGUUUAACUGGGGCGGUUGCCUCCCAAAAUGUAACGGAGGCGCCCAAAGGUUCCCUCAGCCUGGUUGGCAAUCAGGUGGUGAGUGUAAGUGCACAAGGGAGCUUGACUGUGAGACAGACAUGUCGAACAGGGACGAAAGUCGGGACUAGUGAUCCGGCACCUACUUGUGGAUGUGGUGUCGCUCAACGGAUAAAAGGUACCCCGGGGAUAACAGGCUGAUCUUCCCCAAGAGUCCAUAUCGACGGGAUGGUUUGGCACCUCGAUGUCGGCUCGUCGCAUCCUGGGGCUGGAGUAGGUCCCAAGGGUUGGGCUGUUCGCCCAUUAAAGCGGCACGCGAGCUGGGUUCAGAACGUCGUGAGACAGUUCGGUCUCUAUCCGCCGCGCGCGUUGAAACUUGAAGAAGGCUGUCCCUAGUACGAGAGGACCGGGACGGACGUACCUCUAGUGUGCCAGUUGUUCCGCCAGGAGCAUCGCUGGUUGGCUACGUACGGAAGGGAUAACCGCUGAAAGCAUCUAAGCGGGAAGCCUGUUUUAAGAUGAGGUUUCAUUUGAGGUCCCCCAAAGACGAUGGGGUUGAUAGGCCAGACCUGGACGCACCGCAAGGUGUGAAGGCUACUGGUACUAAUAGACCAAAACAAACACAC